This is a long non-coding RNA of Ochotona curzoniae (black-lipped pika), 248 nucleotides long. RefSeq lists it as uncharacterized. The record is from RefSeq and is a predicted model, not a curated record. NCBI's taxonomy places the organism in Eukaryota, Metazoa, Chordata, Mammalia, Lagomorpha, Ochotonidae. The transcript is spliced from 3 exons.
GAGUCCUUGAGCAGUUCCUUGUUACAUGAGGACACGAGACGAUGAAUAACAAGUGAAAGAAUAAACACCUAGAAUUAAACGUUAGUGUAAUGAACAAGAAUCAGGUCUGGGAUGACCUCAGAUGAAGUCUGUGGGGGAAUCCACCCAGCUGAGCUGCUGGACUCAGAACCAACGGUGGAGAGAAACACAGGUCCCAUGGUCCACUGUGGAGUGCAUGUGUCAGAGCUGGGCCUCCUCAGUGGCUCAGA